ACAUGCAAGUCGAGCGGACAGAUGGGAGCUUGCUCCCUGAUGUUAGCGGCGGACGGGUGAGUAACACGUGGGUAACCUGCCUGUAAGACUGGGAUAACUCCGGGAAACCGGGGCUAAUACCGGAUGCUUGUUUGAACCGCAUGGUUCAAACAUAAAAGGUGGCUUCGGCUACCACUUACAGAUGGACCCGCGGCGCAUUAGCUAGUUGGUGAGGUAAUGGCUCACCAAGGCGACGAUGCGUAGCCGACCUGAGAGGGUGAUCGGCCACACUGGGACUGAGACACGGCCCAGACUCCUACGGGAGGCAGCAGUAGGGAAUCUUCCGCAAUGGACGAAAGUCUGACGGAGCAACGCCGCGUGAGUGAUGAAGGUUUUCGGAUCGUAAAGCUCUGUUGUUAGGGAAGAACAAGUACCGUUCGAAUAGGGCGGUACCUUGACGGUACCUAACCAGAAAGCCACGGCUAACUACGUGCCAGCAGCCGCGGUAAUACGUAGGUGGCAAGCGUUGUCCGGAAUUAUUGGGCGUAAAGGGCUCGCAGGCGGUUUCUUAAGUCUGAUGUGAAAGCCCCCGGCUCAACCGGGGAGGGUCAUUGGAAACUGGGGAACUUGAGUGCAGAAGAGGAGAGUGGAAUUCCACGUGUAGCGGUGAAAUGCGUAGAGAUGUGGAGGAACACCAGUGGCGAAGGCGACUCUCUGGUCUGUAACUGACGCUGAGGAGCGAAAGCGUGGGGAGCGAACAGGAUUAGAUACCCUGGUAGUCCACGCCGUAAACGAUGAGUGCUAAGUGUUAGGGGGUUUCCGCCCCUUAGUGCUGCAGCUAACGCAUUAAGCACUCCGCCUGGGGAGUACGGUCGCAAGACUGAAACUCAAAGGAAUUGACGGGGGCCCGCACAAGCGGUGGAGCAUGUGGUUUAAUUCGAAGCAACGCGAAGAACCUUACCAGGUCUUGACAUCCUCUGACAAUCCUAGAGAUAGGACUUCCCCUUCGGGGGCAAAAUGACAGGUGGUGCAUGGUUGUCGUCACCUCCUGUCCUGAGAUGUUGGGUUAAAUCCCGCAACAAAGGCAACCCUUGAUCUUA
This 1079-nucleotide ribosomal RNA is filed under the name Bacillus subtilis. RNAcentral describes it as "bacterial SSU rRNA". It matches the Rfam family "Bacterial small subunit ribosomal RNA", at positions 53 to 1113 of the family's 1533-position model. Lineage: Bacteria; Bacillati; Bacillota; Bacilli; Caryophanales; Bacillaceae. The record is from RNAcentral.